AACUUUUGUCUGCCCAGCCGGACCUACUUUCAUAGAAGGGCGGAGCGCGGUGUGCCUGUAGGAAGGGAAAGAGGUGGGGGUAUCAGCGCAGGAAUCUUUAGUUCACCCUUCCCAAGGAAGAGAGAAGGGUUAACACUCUCUUCUGGUCAUACUGCAAUCUUUGAUAGUGGAGUCGGGAGAAGAAUUGGGGACCAUUAAUGAGUCAUUAUUACACCUCCUUAGAUACAGUUAAAGAAAGAGUGUACGGAACCAGUGGGAGGACUCUUUGCAGUUGGAAUGUGCGGAGGGGCACAGUGGAAGGCAAGGAUAAGGAAUGAAAGCGACUAGAGAGAGGCAUGUCCUGCGCAAACAUGGUCACUUUGUUCCCAGCGUGGAGACGGAGGGAGAGAUGGAAAAACAGAGUGAACCGAAAAGCUAGAGACAGAAAUAGAAUGAAAAGAGAAAAAUAGAAACAAGAGCUCUCAAGAGAAAAAGAAAGGGAGGAGUAAGAAUCACAAGCAAGAUGGACAUAUGUGAAAGGGAAAUGGAGUCUGCUGUAGAGGAAGAAAAAGGCCAGUAUCCCUGAGCUAAAAACCUGCUACAUGCUGCAAGUUGGAAGCCCUGAGAAGAAAGAUUUACAAGCCACCCUUCAGCAGAAUUUUCCAAUUCAUAAGCCUGGAGUAUUAGCUGUGGGUGAAGAAGAGAAGGAAAGAAAGAGGAAUAAUGAACUGGAGGAAUUCCAUGGAGACUGGAACGACCUCCAGGAAGUGAUGCAGAGCGAGAGGAGCAGAACCAGGAGAACACUGUACACAGAGACUGAUACACUGUGGUAUAAUCGAAGGUAAUGGACUUCUCCAUUAGUGGCAAUGCAGUGAUCCUGAACAACCCGGAGGGAUCUAUGAGAAAGAAUACUAUCCACAUCCAGAGGAAAAACUGUGCAAGUGAAAAAACCGAAGAAAAACAACUGCUUGAUUACAUGGGUCGAAGGGAUAUGAUCGGAAAUGUAGACUCUAAAUGAACAUCCUAAUGCAAAUACCAACAUGGAAAUAGGUUCUGAUAAAGGACACAUGUAAUACCCAGUGGAAUUGUACAUUGGCUAUUGGGGGGGGGGGAGAAUAUGAUUCUUAUAACCAAGGAAUAAUGUUCUAAAUUGACUAAAUUAAAAAAAAAAAGACAGAAGGGCAGGGACUAGACAAACAGGAUGAAGAGACUUGCCCAGGGUGACCUAGCUAGGAAGUAUCGGAGGUCACAUUAGAACAGAAGCCAUCCUGACUCUAGGCCUGGCUCUCUAUGCACUGUGUGGCCCAGCUGCCCUGAUAACAUUCUUAACAUCCAGCUUCUGCCUGAAAACUUACAGUGAGGGAUCUCACUCCUUUUUGGGGUUAAGAAAAAUAAUAGCUAGCAUUUAUUAAGUACCUCCUAUGUGCCACAAACUGUGCUAAGCACUUUACAGGUAUUACCUCAUUGGAUCCUUACAACAAACCUGAGAGGUAGAUGCUGUUAUCCCCAUUUUGCAGUUGAGGAAACUGAGACAAACCAAAGAUAAGCGACUUGCCCAAAAGUACACAGCUAGGACCAGCUAUGAAUUCAGGUCUUCCUGUAUCUAGGUCCAGUAUCUACUAUACUGCUUAGCUUCCUGGUCAUUCUAGUGACCAGGAGGUUCUGAACUUGGGGGAUGCAAACAUUUUAAAAAUAUAUAUUUUGGCAACUACUUUAAUGUAGUUUAUUUCCUUUAUAAUCUUUUGUAUUUUCUUUUAUGAAUUUAAAAACAUUCUGAAAGGAAGGCUCUAGACCUCACCAGACUGCCAACAGGGUCUAUGACACAGUUCUUCUAGCCACUAUAUUAUAUCGCUCUUCUGCAUUUCUGAGGCCCUUGUUCCAUUUUUAAUACAGUCAGAAAUAAGAGUUGUAUUGGGCCAGAAACUCACAUGAGAGAGACUAAACACAUCUGUUCUUGGCAGGAAAGACCUUUUAGAGUACUGCUGAAGGUGAGAAGGAGAGAAGACCCUGAAAGGGCACUGACUUUGUUCCCACCAAAUGUAGAGCUGGGGUUCCAAAGGAAUAGCAGACCUAAGUGACUUCAUCUGACAUUCAAGGCCCAUGAUUGGAUACCCCAACUUGAGAGAAGUGGUAAGAGUUGAAAAAGAGAUUUUUCUGAGGAAAGGUAAAUGUCACUAAAAUUAAGCCAAAAGUAUUUUUCUGGGGGCUUUAGAGGGAUAGGGCUGGGAGGCUAAAAUACCAUGUAAGGUCUUUAGUGAGAUUUUAUAAUGAGGAAAUGGAUUUAUAUCAUAACAAGUAGAAUUUAAGUUAGAUGUAGGGAAAAAAGUGCAUCCCAGGAUUAACAAAGACACUGUAAUGACCAGUAGGUGGGUUUAGAAUCCACCAGUCCCCACUGCUAGGUCUGGGAUCUCUUGCCAACCCCACCUUCCCCUCACUUCAGCCUCCCCACAGGAUAGAAGGAUAAUAGUUGAACCAGAAACUGCAGUGAUUCUAAGAGGUCUUCUCUAGCCUGAAAGCAGCUGCUGUUCUGGAGGACGUCCAACUGGAAAGGAUGAUCCUAACAUCUUGCCUUUGGGAUCUGAGACCAUUUUCAGGAGGAAUCUCUGGAAGACCUGGUUCAGACCAAAUUCCUCAGGAGUCUUGAGCUAACUAGCAUCUCUGUUUGAAGAUGAGGCUCUAGAAUUUUACCUGUGUAGGUCUGGAGCUCCUCUCCACCUUUGGAGUCACCUCAAGUCUAAAGCCUACGUAGGUCCUUCCUGGUCAACACCUAUAACGGUAGAGGCCCUGGUACCCACUCAGAGCUACUGGAUACAUUUGCAAACUGGUUCCAGUGACUCUUGGGAGUGCCAACUUGCCGUAAUCCCAUAAGGAAGAUUUUCCUGACUGUCAGGGUUAUUGUAAAAUCCCUGGAAAAGGUUGUGGACUUUGCUGUCCUUUCACAUCAAUCCACCCACCACUUGGCCCUUUGGGUUUAAAAAGAACUGUAGAAAUUCAGCACACUCACAGAGAGCACCAGAUCCCGUUUGCGCCUGGAAUUCUUCUGCCCACCCCCUCUGGCCCUGCCAGGAGAAGCUGCGAACCCCAAAGAUAGUCUUA
Monodelphis domestica (gray short-tailed opossum) is the source of this 3075-nucleotide non-coding RNA. The record is from RefSeq and is a predicted model, not a curated record. Lineage: Eukaryota; Metazoa; Chordata; Mammalia; Didelphimorphia; Didelphidae.